CUCAGUAACGGCGAGUGAAGCGGCAACAGCUCAAAUUUGAAAUCUGGCUUCGGCCCGAGUUGUAAUUUGCAGAGGAAGCUUCUGGCACGGCAUCGUCCGAGUCCCCUGGAACGGGGCGCCAUAGAGGGUGAGAGCCCCGUAUGGACGAAUGCCUAGCCUGUGUGAAGCUCCUUCAACGAGUCGAGUAGUUUGGGAAUGCUGCUCAAAAUGGGAGGUAAAUUCCUUCUAAAGCUAAAUAUUGGCCAGAGACCGAUAGCGCACAAGUAGAGUGAUCGAAAGAUGAAAAGCACUUUGAAAAGAGGGUUAAACAGCACGUGAAAUUGUUGAAAGGGAAGCGCUUGUGACCAGACUUGCGCCAGGCUGAUCAUCCGGUGUUCUCACCGGUGCACUCCGCCUGGUACAGGCCAGCAUCAGUUUUGGCGGGGGGAUAAAGGAUACAGGAACGUAGCUCCCCUGGGAGUGUUAUAGCCUGUGUCGUAAUGCCCUCGCCCGUAAUGGUCAUCAGCGACCCGUCUUGA
Molecule: ribosomal RNA, 518 nt
Filed under: Ramophialophora globispora
Lineage: Eukaryota; Fungi; Ascomycota; Sordariomycetes; Sordariales
Description: partial 28S ribosomal RNA
Rfam family: Eukaryotic large subunit ribosomal RNA
Source: RNAcentral